RNAcentral lists this ribosomal RNA (506 nucleotides) under uncultured bacterium. RNAcentral describes it as "partial 16S ribosomal RNA". It matches the Rfam family "Bacterial small subunit ribosomal RNA", at positions 29 to 523 of the family's 1533-position model. The record is from RNAcentral.
AGUGAACGCUGGCGGUAGGCCUAACACAUGCAAGUCGAACGGCAGCACAGGACAGCUUGCUCUCUGGGUGGCGAGUGGCGGACGGGUGAGGAAUACAUCGGAAUCUACUCUGUCGUGGGGGAUAACGUAGGGAAACUUACGCUAAUACCGCAUACGACCUACGGGUGAAAGCAGGGGAUCUUCGGACCUUGCGCGAUUGAAUGAGCCGAUGUCGGAUUAGCUAGUUGGCGGGGUAAAGGCCCACCAAGGCGACGAUCCGUAGCUGGUCUGAGAGGAUGAUCAGCCACACGGGAACUGGGACACGGUCCAGACUCCUACGGGAGGCAGCAGUGGAGAAUAUUGGACAAUGGGCGCAAGCCUGAUCCAGCCAUACCGCGUGGGUGAAGAAGGCCUUCGGGUUGUAAAGCCCUUUUGUUGGGAAAGAAAUCCAGCUGGCUAAUACCCGGUUGGGAUGACGGUACCCAAAGAAUAAGCACCGGCUAACUUCGUGCCAACAGCCGCCGCCG